GUGUCAGCAGCCGCGGUAAUACGGAGGGUGCAAGCAUUAAUCGGAAUUAUUGGGCGUAAAGGGCGCGUAGGCGGAAAAGCGUGUCAAAUGUGAAAUUCCAAGGCUCAACCUUGGCGCUGCAUUUGAAACUACUUUUCUGGAGGGUAGGCGGAGAAAACGGAAUUCCACGUGUAGCGGUGAAAUGCGUAGAUAUGUGGAAGAACAUCGGUGGCGAAGGCGGUUUUCUAGCUUAUUCCUGACGCUGAGGCGCGAAAGCAAGGGGAGCAAACAGGAUUAGAUACCCUGGUAGUCCUUGCCGUAAACGAUGCAUACUUGAUGUAGCUGGGCUCAACCCUGGCUGUGUCGGAGCGAACGCGUUAAGUAUGCCGCCUGAGGAGUACGUCCGCAAGGAUAAA
This 395-nucleotide ribosomal RNA is filed under the name uncultured bacterium. Its description in RNAcentral is "bacterial SSU rRNA". It matches the Rfam family "Bacterial small subunit ribosomal RNA", at positions 505 to 898 of the family's 1533-position model. The record is from RNAcentral.